RNAcentral lists this ribosomal RNA (123 nucleotides) under Anser brachyrhynchus (Pink-footed goose). Lineage: Eukaryota; Metazoa; Chordata; Aves; Anseriformes; Anatidae. The record is from RNAcentral.
GUUUGCAGUGUACCAGCCAUAUAACCACAGGCUAUACUCAUCAAAUUUCCAAGCUAAACAAGGUUGGACUGGGUCAGUUUUUGGUUGGGAGACCUCCAAGGAAAAGCCAGAGUACUGAAAAAC